Long non-coding RNA from Cucumis melo (muskmelon), 2983 nucleotides. RefSeq lists it as uncharacterized. The transcript has 6 exons. The record is from RefSeq and is a predicted model, not a curated record. NCBI's taxonomy places the organism in Eukaryota, Viridiplantae, Streptophyta, Magnoliopsida, Cucurbitales, Cucurbitaceae.
AAAAAUUAAAGUUUUCCCUUCUUCCCCUUCCCCACGAUUUUUCCAUCCCUUCCAAAGUUAAUCACUCAUGCCCCCGUCACCACAUCUCAGCCGCUGCCUCAAUCGUUCGCUGCCAGUGCUGACUCCAGUCGCAAGCUCAACUAAAUCUGACUCCUGCUGGUGCCGUGAUGCUAAUUCCAACCGUGUUGCAACUCCUGACGCCACCAAGAUCUGACUCCAGCCACCUCCUUCUCGGCUCACGCUGCCGCACACUGCCGCAUACUAUCAGACAAUGUUUCCAAUUCGAAGCCUUUCAGUUUCCGUUGCAAAGCUACAAAUUACUUUACUCCCUCCAUCCUCAUUUGCCUCCUCCAUCUCCAUCGGCCCUAAUCUCCAAAUCCCACAAUAACAUCCCAAUUUGAAGGACUUCUUCUCUUAUAUUGAUACUUUUGUUUGCUUUUGGAUUAGAGAAUUAUUCGUUGUGGUGGAGCCCUUGAUGAUGAUAUGUCGAAUAUCAUUGUUGCUCAACUUCUAUACCUUGAUGCUAUUGAUCCCAAUGAGGAUAUUAUGAUGUAUGUAAAUUCCCGUGUUGAGUUACAGCUGGUAAUAUUGAAACCGGUGGAAACCAUAUCACUGAUUGUUUGUUCUGUUGGAAACUGGGACGAGCUUUAUCUUUUAACUACUGAUUAACUUGGAUUUAUGUUGGACAUGGAGUAGCCAAUGGUAGGUCUAAGCAAAGUAGAAGUGAGAAAAAGAGUCGUAAAGCAAUGCUGAAGCUUGGAAUGAAGCCUAUCUCCGGUGUGAGCCAUGUCACAGUCAAGAAGAGUAAAAAUGUUAGUUUUUUUCAACAUCUCAAAUUUGACACUUCUAAAUUGAUUCUAUCUAAUAUCUAUGGCGUUUUCUCUGCAGAUGUUAUCUAAUAUCUAAAUUGAUUCUAUCUAAUAUCUAUGGCAUUAUCUCAUAAUUUUAUUGAAUUGUGAUAUCUAACUUCAUUCUUUUAACUUUAUUUUCAAUGCAAUGUUGAUAAUUUGUGAUUUCAAAUAUGUAUGUUCUAAAAUUUAAGAUAUGUAUGUUCUUGUUUUGUUCUUUUUAGUUUUUUGGAACUUCAUGUUUUAUUUUAGAUAUCUAGUUACAAGUCAAGAGUAUAUUACAACAUAGAAAUAAGCAUUUUUUUAUUCUCACAAGGAUGAAGAUUUGAGUAAGGUUCGUAUUUUUGUCUGUUUUAUGUUUCUUUAAUUAGCAUUGAAAAUUUGUUGGAGUUUGAUUUUCAGAGUUUCGUUUUGUUUUUGCAACUAUCUUUGAAGUUUAUUAAUUCCGAGAAGUUUCAGAGGUGAGUUUAUGUUUGUUGUUGUUGUGAGACGGUGGAGUGGUGAUAUUUCUUUCUCUGUGGAGGAGAAUAUCCUUUGGCUUGUGUUUAUUUUGAUUUUUUUUAAUUUUAUUAUUGAAUUGUGUGUCUUUUCUAAAGAAAUAUGAGAAAAACCGUUUAAUGCUCUCUGUUGAAGAGUUAAAGUUGUAGUAAUUUAAUUACAUAUUAAGUUUAUUUUUCAGUUUAAUGCUCUCUGUUAGUGAUUUAACACAGGUGAUUUUUCUUAUGCGAUAGACUUGAGUCGACAAAGUCUAGUUUUGCUUUAUUUUAUGUAGUUUUCUACUGUAAAUUAUAUGUACCUGGUUGAUUGUUAGUUCGUUAAUUCUAGAGAUGGCUUUUAAAAUUGAAAUUUAGGGAUUCUAAUCUUGUUAAGGUCAAAUAUGUUCAAGAACAUGUAUAGUAUUACUACUUACUUUUGUUUGCUUUUGGAUGUCUGGAUGUUCAUGUUCGGUGGUCAUUACGUAUAAGACUUAGAAGCACAUAUACAGAUGCUGAGGUGGAAUAUUCUUUCAAUAUAUUUCUUUUCCUCUAAUGAUGAUGACUAUCACUCCCUAUGAUCUUUUUUUCCCUCUCUUUACUGUAUGCUUCUUCCUUAGAAAUAUACUCAAUGAAGAUUUUGGAAGUUGAGUAGAUCAUGGACAUUGAAACAGGACUUGAACUAAUAAUGAAGAAAAUGUUGAAAAGGUUUGUUUUUCAUUUUUCAAUUUUAUGCUAUGUGGAAAGUAAUUGUUUUUACAUUUUAAGACACUUGCAUAAAUGAUCAUACAAAUGAUAGAAGGUUCAACCAAAACCUCAUAGAAAGGAUAGUCCUCGGAAAGCUAUCUAGAAGGUAAUAUUCAUUUUGCUUUGUUCUUUUGCCUGAAUGAUAUUACCUCAAAAACAUAAAUACUGUCAAAGAGUAAUUUGAUCCCUCUUGCAACCAAACUCAUAUGUCUUUCAAGUUUUAGAUACUUUAAUUUUUUACAUUAUAGUCAGCUCGUUGUGUAAUCUUUUCUUGAAUUUAUGUCAUUGUCAGUUUAGUAAAACUUGAUGCUAUCUUCUUCUGUACAGAUUUUGGACAACGAAAAAAGAUAGGAUUGGAACAUUUCAAGCCAAUGAAGCCUUUGGAGUCUGGUGAUCUUUAAGCACAAAUCUUUCAAGCCAAUGAAGCCAAUUAAGCACAAAUCUUUAUAUAAUUGGCGGCAAUGUGCAUUUGGUAGAACUAUAUGGGACUGAUCAAUACUUUGCAAUGAAGGCAAUGGAUAAGGGUGUCAUGCUCGACCGCAACAAGAUCUGAAAAGUGAAGAACACGAAAUUCACAUCUACGAAUGAGCUUAUACUGAUGACCAACCUACAAAUAGUACAAAGGAAGCUUUUGAGAAAGUCGUUUUCAUCAAAACUCAGAAGACUAAUGCUCGAACAGAGGAAUGAUUGAAGACAUAUCGGGUUGAAAGCAAAGCAAUUGUGUAGAUAGGCUAUUAUUGAAGGUUGAAGACUGAGAAGAUAUGUUUAGAAUUUCUUGUUAAAGUUUUGUAUUAGGAUCUUGUUUCAUGUACUGUUGUAGAAUGUAUAUAUAAAUACAAUAUUAAGAUUUUAUUUUGUGUAUACAAAUGUAAAAGACAAAUAUUAUAGUUUCUAAAAUAAUAUUAAUUUAAUUGA